GUGUCAGCCGCCGCGGUAAUACGGAGGAUCCGAGCGUUAUCCGGAUUUAUUGGGUUUAAAGGGUGCGUAGGCGGCUUAUUAAGUCAGGGGUGAAAUACGGCAGCUCAACUGUCGCAGUGCCUUUGAUACUGAUAAGCUUGAAUGUGGUUGAAGAUGGCGGAAUGAGACAAGUAGCGGUGAAAUGCAUAGAUAUGUCUCAGAACUCCGAUUGCGAAGGCAGCUAUCUAAGCCAUUAUUGACGCUGAUGCACGAAAGCGUGGGGAUCAAACAGGAUUAGAUACCCCGGUAGUCC
This 292-nucleotide ribosomal RNA is filed under the name uncultured bacterium. RNAcentral's name for it is "partial 16S ribosomal RNA". It matches the Rfam family "Bacterial small subunit ribosomal RNA", at positions 505 to 796 of the family's 1533-position model. The record is from RNAcentral.